This 292-nucleotide ribosomal RNA is filed under the name uncultured bacterium. RNAcentral describes it as "partial 16S ribosomal RNA". It matches the Rfam family "Bacterial small subunit ribosomal RNA", at positions 505 to 796 of the family's 1533-position model. The record is from RNAcentral.
GUGCCAGCAGCCGCGGUAAAACGUAGGACGCAAGCGUUAUCCGGAGUUACUGGGCGUAAAGCGCGGGCAGGCGGUUCUGCCAGUCUGAUGUGAAAUCUCCUCGCUCAACGGGGAGCAGCCAUUGGAAACUACAGAACUGGAGUCUGACAGAGGUAGGCGGAAUUCCGGGUGGAGUGGUGAAAUGCGUAGAGAUCCGGAGGAACACCAGAGGCGAAGGCGGCCUACUGGGUCAGUACUGACGCUGAGCCGCGAAAGCCAGGGGAGCGAACGGGAUUAGAUACCCCCGUAGUCC